Molecule: long non-coding RNA, 696 nt
Filed under: Homo sapiens (human)
Lineage: Eukaryota; Metazoa; Chordata; Mammalia; Primates; Hominidae
Description: HSALNT0106411
Source: RNAcentral
CUCACUGAGUUCCCUAGUCUCUGUCUCUAAGCAGCAGUUUCCCUAGUAGGCCUGUGCCCCUGGCUAGCAUUGACCUCUACGGCAUAACCUUUCCUUCAGUGGCACAGGACUAAGAAAAGUCACAUGUGCUUUCAACCACUGAAGACCCACAUAAUUGGCCUAUGGUCAGCUAGGCCCUUUUGCAGAUUUUGGUCUCUCUGCUCUCACUGCUUUGGGAAAUUAUGCUAUGUGGACAGCAUGAUCAGUAAACCUGCCUCCCUCCUUGUGGCCCUGGGAGGAAGCCAUGGACUCUACCAAGUCUGAACCCCUGAAGGGAUCACCAGAGGCUGGAGUGCAAUGGCGUGAUCUCGGGUCACUGCAACCUCCGCCUCCCGGGUUCAAGCGAUUCUCCUGCCUCAGCCUCGCGAGCAGCCGGGAUUACAGGCAUGCGCCACCACGCCCAGCUAAUUUUUGUAUUUUUAGUAGAGACGGGGUUUCGCUGUGUUGGCCAGGCUGGUCUCGAACACCUGACUUCAGGUGAUCCGCACACUCCUUGGCCUCCCAAAGUGCUGUGAUUUACAGGCGUGAGGCACCGCACCCGGCUGAGUUGUUUAAUUUCUUGACCGUGUAUGAGCACCUCGCAGUUCGAGAAGAGGGGAGAAGUGGACACACUGUGAGUGGUCUGAGUCAUGAGACAGCCAUGCGGCUGUGAAUUGA